GGGGGUGUAGUCAAGUUGGGUAAGCACCUGCCUUGCAAGCAGGGGGUCAAGAGUUCGAAUCUCUCCAUCUCCA
RNAcentral lists this transfer RNA (73 nucleotides) under Butyrivibrio hungatei. It matches the Rfam family "tRNA". From Rfam's summary of the family: Transfer RNA (tRNA) molecules are approximately 80 nucleotides in length. Their secondary structure includes four short double-helical elements and three loops (D, anti-codon, and T loops). Lineage: Bacteria; Bacillati; Bacillota; Clostridia; Lachnospirales; Lachnospiraceae. The record is from Rfam by way of RNAcentral.